This 347-nucleotide transfer-messenger RNA is filed under the name Clostridia bacterium. It matches the Rfam family "transfer-messenger RNA". Rfam says of the family: Bacterial tmRNA, also known as 10Sa RNA or SsrA, is named for its dual tRNA and mRNA-like properties. Its role is to liberate the mRNA from a stalled ribosome. Lineage: Bacteria; Bacillati; Bacillota; Clostridia. The record is from RNAcentral.
GGGGAUGAUCCGGUUUCGACGGGGACAUCGGAAUCAGGAUAAGCGAGCCGCGGACCCUGAACCGCGUAAAAACGGGGAAAAAAAAUAACUGACGAAAAUAAUUUCGCCUUCGCGGCUUAAUGCCGCGCGUCGGCCCGGUUGACCCACGCUCCCGGAUACCGGCGUCAUUAUCGUGGGGAACGAGCACUGCCAAAGCUUUGAGGCUGUGUCCGUAAUCAUGAAGCUACCAAACGGGGAAGCCUGUCCGCGGGCGUCCCUGUGAGGGAAAUUCAAAACACGGAAUGCGCUCGGAGAAGAUCCUGACGACGGGUUUUCGGACAGGGGUUCAACUCCCCUCAUCUCCACUU